Schizosaccharomyces pombe (fission yeast) is the source of this 766-nucleotide non-coding RNA. The record is from the annotation of a GenBank genome assembly. NCBI's taxonomy places the organism in Eukaryota, Fungi, Ascomycota, Schizosaccharomycetes, Schizosaccharomycetales, Schizosaccharomycetaceae.
UGAAAUAGACAUUCUGGACAUUCAUAACGCUCAGAACCAACUUUAAUAACUCUUCCAUCAGGAAGGGUGUAAUUACGCAUUAAAACGGUAGUUUCUUCGCUAAGCUUAUGGUCCAAUUCCAAAUCAUAACUAACGUAACAAAGUUUUUCUUUCAUCUCGCGAACAGUUUCAAAGUCUGCUGUACGAUUGAAAGCAUAACCCUUACGAAGAAGUAAGCUAAUCAAAUAGCGGGUAGCAUCCCUACCGGCAACGUCAAGGCGACCAACUAAAUGAUUUAAAACAACACUUUCAUAGACAGGCACAAUAUGGGUUACACCGUCACCAGAAUCAACAACUACACCACUGCUUAAUCCCUGUGCGUAUAAAGAGAGAACGGCCUGAAUGGCGACAUAAACACCACCAAAACCAUACCGUUCAAACAUUGUCUCACACAUUUUUUCGCGGUUAGCAACAGGAUUCAUAGGGGGCUCGGUCAACAAAAUUUUCCUACCCCUCGGAUCAAUUUUUAGUUUUUCAAAGAAAGUGUAAUCCCAAAGUUGAUUCAUCUCUUCAAAAUCACGGAUAAUGCCAUUUUCCAUGGGAUAUUUUACUUGAAGUAAAGAUCUCACCGCCUCAGCUUCAUCACCGACCAUAACAUCUUUAAUUUGAACAUUUCCUGUUUUCUCUUCAGCACGUAAAAUGGGCCUUCCUACGAUGGAUGGGAAUUGAAAGCGCGGAAAAUUGUCUUUAGCAUAUCCGACCUUGCUAACGUUAGUCACAGUGUAAA